AAAAAAAAAAAAUGUUGAGAGCUAAUUUGGUGAAAAAAAAGGCAAGGCAAACUGCAUAAAAAGCGCAAAGGUCUUUUGAUGAAAACAGUUUCAGAACACAACUUGUAAUUUAGACGUAUGCCGUGAACUUUGGCUGGAACUGGGCUUGAUAUGCUCAGCUAUUGCUAAAAUUCAUUCCUAAAAGGCAAAGCAGUAUUGAAUGUAAUUGUGAAUUCAUUACCUUAUAAUUAUCUUUUUUCAAUGGAUUUUUAGAUUUUUCAAAACAGUUCAGCAACAAAGUUGAACAAUACUUUACAGGUUUCUUUAAACUUUUAAAAUAUAUAAAAAAUUGAAUAAAAGUUGAAAUAUAUAAACUUUUAUCGACAAAAGGACUAACAAAAUGCUGGAUAGAUAGAUAAUUUAUGGCACAUUUGUGCCCGGCGCAGGCUUACUCUAAAUUUGUGUACUGCGAUAAGAAUAAAAUCAUAGUUUAUAUCAAGUGAGUUUGUGUUGUUAUUUACAGUUUAUUUUGCAUUGACCAUUUUUCCUUAGGAAUUUUAUUUUUUCAUUAGUUUUACAAAUUAAAACAGGUAUAACUAUGUGAAUCCUUCAGUAAGCCAUAUGAAGGAGGUGAAAUCAUCUAGCGUAAAACAACA
Cimex lectularius (bed bug) is the source of this 635-nucleotide long non-coding RNA. RefSeq lists it as uncharacterized. NCBI's taxonomy places the organism in Eukaryota, Metazoa, Arthropoda, Insecta, Hemiptera, Cimicidae. The transcript has 3 exons. The record is from RefSeq and is a predicted model, not a curated record.